CAACUUUUGACAAUGGAUCUCUUGGUUCUCGCAACGAUGAAGAACGCAGCAAAAUGCGAUAAGUAGUGUGAAUUGCAGAACACGUGAAUCAUCGAAUCUUCGAACGCAUAUUGCACA
Molecule: ribosomal RNA, 117 nt
Filed under: uncultured Cyllamyces
Lineage: Eukaryota; Fungi; Neocallimastigomycota; Neocallimastigomycetes; Neocallimastigales; Neocallimastigaceae
Description: partial 5.8S ribosomal RNA
Rfam family: 5.8S ribosomal RNA
About the family: 5.8S ribosomal RNA (5.8S rRNA) is a component of the large subunit of the eukaryotic ribosome.
Source: RNAcentral